GGGGGCGACCUGGCUUCGACGUGGGUUACGAAACCUAAGGUGCAUGCCGAGUACUCCAGUUCUUCUCGUAAAAAAGAUUGGAAAAAUAUAGUUGCUAACGAUAACAACUACGCACUAGCUGCUUAAUAACCAGUGAAUGCCGUCCGACCAGAUCCGUGCUUGUGCGUCUGGUAUCGGGCGUCGACUCUCACAAGAUCGUCUUGACGUAUGCUUGGUACUGAUUGACUAAAACCUAACAAGAUCGCUUCAUGUUUUCCCUGUUCAUCGGGUAGCUUGAAGUUAAAUUAAUAGAUGAAAUAAGCAUGUAGAGCUGAAGGCAGAGGAUUUGCGGACGCGGGUUCGAUUCCCGCCGCCUCCACCA
Molecule: non-coding RNA, 361 nt
Organism: Methylophaga nitratireducenticrescens
Lineage: Bacteria; Pseudomonadati; Pseudomonadota; Gammaproteobacteria; Thiotrichales; Piscirickettsiaceae
Source: Rfam